Nothoprocta perdicaria is the source of this 257-nucleotide long non-coding RNA. RefSeq lists it as uncharacterized. Lineage: Eukaryota; Metazoa; Chordata; Aves; Tinamiformes; Tinamidae. The record is from RefSeq and is a predicted model, not a curated record. The transcript is spliced from 2 exons.
UAUAUUUUACUUUUUCUUUCUAGCAACAUCUGUAAAUUAAUUUGGGAGUAGGGCUUUGAAGUAAAACUGAGCAGGAGGACAGCUUGCCAUAGCGGUCUUCAMCUUACGCCGGCAGCUUAAAGCGAGCGAAGCGCUGGCAGUCGCUGUGGUGCUCUGCCUUGCUGCACAAAAUAGCUCUGAGCAGCUGAACCAACUUUGCUGGCUGAACGUGUCCUCUCAGCGUGUUGGAGCAACCAGCCCGGUCCUGUUCUCCUUCU